Eriocheir sinensis (Chinese mitten crab) is the source of this 1266-nucleotide long non-coding RNA. RefSeq lists it as uncharacterized. The record is from RefSeq and is a predicted model, not a curated record. The transcript is spliced from 3 exons. Lineage: Eukaryota; Metazoa; Arthropoda; Malacostraca; Decapoda; Varunidae.
ACAAAAACAACAAAAUGAAAACAACAACAUCAAAAUAGAAAACAAAAACAACAAAAUGAAAACAACAACAUCAAAUUAGAAAACAAAGACAACAAAAUGAAAACAACAACAUCAAAUUAGAAAACAAAGACAACAAAAUGAAAACAACAACAUCAGAUUAGAAAACAAAGACAACAAAAUGAAAACAACAACACCAGAUUAGAAAACAAAGACAACAAAAUGAAAAAAAAACCCACCAGAUUAGAAAACAAAGACAACAAAAAACAUUAAAAGCAAAACAACUUGAAAAAACAAAACAAAACAAGAAAAACAAAAACACGAAAAAUAGUUCGUUAGUUGUAUUACCGAAGAAAAUUAAAUAUCGUAUAAACUUUAAAAAAUAGAAAUUAAUAACAGAAAACAAUAGAAAAUAAAGGAAAAAACAAUAAAGAAAAAGAAGAAAAUACUAAUUGAAAAAUGUUUUGUGUUGCAGGAAAAAAAGGACAAAAAAAACAAUAGCUGUGAAAUGUUGUGUUGUGUUACUGAAGAAAUACAAACAAACAAACAAACAAACAAACAAACAAACAAACAAACAAUAGACUAAAGAAAUAAAGAAAAAGAAAGAAAGAAACUAUUAAAAAAGAUUAAAAAAAACUGUACUAAAGAAAAAUAUUAAAAAAAUGUACAAAAAAUACUGAAAAAGACAAAAACGGAAUUUUUUUGUGUUGCGUUCCUGAAAGAAGACAAAGAAAACAAGGAGAAAACAAACGCACGAACAAACGCACGAACACACCUGUACCCCGCGUUACACCUGAGACGUGACCACCAAGCAGAGGAAUGUGACAGAUAGCAUGGAAAUCAACACCAUCAACAACAACAACAACAACAACAGCAGUAGUAGUAGCAGUAACAGCAGUAUUAAGCAGGAGGUUGACCCCCUGCUGCCCCCCGCCGCCGGCCAGGAAGAGGGGGCAGGAGUGGGCGCCCCCUCCCCCCUAACCCCGCCGCCACCACCACCGCCGCCGCCGCCGCCGCCCCACCAACCCCCAGCCACGCAUAGGGGACAGAAAGGCAUCAGAAGCGAGACACAGAAAAUGGAAAGCGUUAACAACGGUAGCGGCGGCGGCGGCGGUGGGGGCGGCAGUGGUGGUAGCAGUGUUGCCAAUCUCUCCGCGGCCACCAACGGGACCAGUGUUGCCAAUGGGGUGCUGGGCGGGGGUGGGGGUGAUGGCCGGGUACCCCCUCCCCCCCAUCACCCCUACUCCCCCCCUGGACCCCCCCACAAAA